RNAcentral lists this non-coding RNA (75 nucleotides) under Paenibacillus sp. CECT 9249. Lineage: Bacteria; Bacillati; Bacillota; Bacilli; Caryophanales; Paenibacillaceae. The record is from RNAcentral.
GAAAGCCGUAUGAGGGAAAACCUCACGUACGGUUUGAUGAGGAGGGGCUGGCUCCGCCCAGCCUUUCACUCUAGC